This 237-nucleotide non-coding RNA is filed under the name Pseudomonas knackmussii B13. RNAcentral's name for it is "Nitrogen regulated small RNA". It matches the Rfam family "Nitrogen regulated small RNA". Rfam says of the family: Its transcription is induced during nitrogen limitation by the NtrB/C two-component system (an important regulator of nitrogen assimilation and swarming motility) together with the alternative sigma factor RpoN (a global regulator involved in nitrogen metabolism). By activating rhlA (a gene essential for rhamnolipids synthesis) it positively regulates the production of rhamnolipid surfactants needed for swarming motility. Lineage: Bacteria; Pseudomonadati; Pseudomonadota; Gammaproteobacteria; Pseudomonadales; Pseudomonadaceae. The record is from Rfam by way of RNAcentral.
ACCAACGCUUUCGGGGGCCUCGGUACAGGCAGGCUGGGGAAUCCCCUCUUUACAUGGCGCGUGCCACGGCUCUUCUAGCCGACGGCGGCGCAGACGGUUCAGGGGUCCUGGUACAGGCAGGCCGGGAAUCCCCUCUUUUACAAGGCGCGUACCACGGCCCGUCGAGGCGGUGGAUGGCGCAGACGGUUCAGGGGCCCUGGUACAGGCAGGCCGGGAAUCCCCUCUUUUACAAGGCGC